UACAGAGGUCCCGAGCGUUGUUCGGAUUCAUUGGGCGUAAAGGGUGCGUAGGCGGUUUUUUAAGUUUGAUGUGAAAUCCCGGGGCUCAACCCUGGAAUUGCAUUGAAUACUGAAGAACUAGAGAUCUGGAGAGGAAACUGGAAUUUACGGUGUAGCAGUGAAAUGCGUAGAGAUGUGGAGGAACACCGAUGGCGAAGGCAGCCCCCUGGGCUGAGAUUGACGCUCAGGCACGAAAGCGUGGGGAGCAAACAGG
Molecule: ribosomal RNA, 253 nt
Filed under: uncultured bacterium
Lineage: Bacteria
Description: partial 16S ribosomal RNA
Rfam family: Bacterial small subunit ribosomal RNA
Source: RNAcentral